GGAGAGGUGUCUGAGAGGCCGAAAGAGCGUGAUUGGAAAUCACGUAUACCCUGAAAAGGGUAUCGAGGGUUCGAAUCCCUCUCUCUCCACCA
Molecule: transfer RNA, 92 nt
Filed under: Candidatus Babelota bacterium
Lineage: Bacteria
Description: tRNA-Ser
Rfam family: tRNA
About the family: Transfer RNA (tRNA) molecules are approximately 80 nucleotides in length. Their secondary structure includes four short double-helical elements and three loops (D, anti-codon, and T loops). Further hydrogen bonds mediate the characteristic L-shaped molecular structure. tRNAs have two regions of fundamental functional importance: the anti-codon, which is responsible for specific mRNA codon recognition, and the 3' end, to which the tRNAs corresponding amino acid is attached (by aminoacyl-tRNA synthetases). tRNAs cope with the degeneracy of the genetic code in two manners: having more than one tRNA (with a specific anti-codon) for a particular amino acid; and 'wobble' base-pairing, i.e. permitting non-standard base-pairing at the 3rd anti-codon position.
Source: RNAcentral